UACGGAGGAUCCGAGCGUUAUCCGGAUUUAUUGGGUUUAAAGGGUGCGUAGGCGGGUUAUUAAGUCAGUGGUGAAAGUUUGACGCUCAACGUUAAAAUUGCCAUUGAUACUGAUAGUCUUGAGUACAGUUGAGGUAGGCGGAAUGUGGUGUGUAGCGGUGAAAUGCAUAGAUAUACCACAGAACACCGAUUGCGAAGGCAGCUUACUAAAGUGUCACUGACGCUGAUGCACGAAAGUGUGGGGAUCAAACAGG
Molecule: ribosomal RNA, 253 nt
Filed under: uncultured bacterium
Lineage: Bacteria
Also listed under: 1 other name
Description: partial 16S ribosomal RNA
Rfam family: Bacterial small subunit ribosomal RNA
Source: RNAcentral